GCUCAGGUGGUGAAAUUGGCAGACACGCAAGAUUCAGGUUCUUGUGCCGAAAGGUGUGCGGGUUCAAGUCCCGCCCUGAGCACCA
This 85-nucleotide transfer RNA is filed under the name Puniceicoccales bacterium. RNAcentral's name for it is "tRNA-Leu". It matches the Rfam family "tRNA". From Rfam's summary of the family: Transfer RNA (tRNA) molecules are approximately 80 nucleotides in length. Their secondary structure includes four short double-helical elements and three loops (D, anti-codon, and T loops). Lineage: Bacteria; Pseudomonadati; Verrucomicrobiota; Opitutia; Puniceicoccales. The record is from RNAcentral.